This 471-nucleotide ribosomal RNA is filed under the name uncultured bacterium. Its description in RNAcentral is "SSU rRNA". It matches the Rfam family "Bacterial small subunit ribosomal RNA", at positions 26 to 518 of the family's 1533-position model. The record is from RNAcentral.
AGGACGAACGCUGGCGGCGUGCUUAACACAUGCAAGUCGAGCGGAAAGGCCCUUCGGGGUACUCGAGCGGCGAACGGGUGAGUAACACGUGAGUAACCUGCCCCUAGCUCUGGGAUAGCUCCGGGAAACCGGGAUUAAUACCAGAUACGACCACUUUAGACAUCUGUCGUGGUGGAAAGGAUUCCGGCUAGGGAUGGGCUCGCGGCCUAUCAGCUUGUUGGUGGGGUAACGCCUACCAAGGCGACGACGGUAGCCGGCCUGAGAGGGCGACCGGCCACACUGGGACUGAGACACGGCCCAGACUCCUACGGGAGGCAGCAGUGGGGAAUAUUGCGCAAUGGCGAAAGCCUGACGCAGCGACGCCGCGUGGGGGAUGAAGGCCUUCGGGUUGUAAACCCCUUUCAGCAGGGACGAAGCGAAAGUGACGGUACCUGCAGAAGAAGCGCCGGCUAACUACGUGCCAGCAGCCGC